This 491-nucleotide ribosomal RNA is filed under the name uncultured bacterium. RNAcentral describes it as "partial 16S ribosomal RNA". It matches the Rfam family "Bacterial small subunit ribosomal RNA", at positions 29 to 507 of the family's 1533-position model. The record is from RNAcentral.
GUGAACGCUGGCGGUAGGCCUAACACAUGCAAGUCGAACGGCAGCACAGUAAGAGCUUGCUCUUACGGGUGGCGAGUGGCGGACGGGUGAGGAAUACAUCGGAAUCUACUUUUUCGUGGGGGAUAACGUAGGGAAACUUACGCUCAUACCGCAUACGACCUACGGGUGAAAGCAGGGGAUCUUCGGACCUUGCGCGAUUGAAUGAGCCGAUGUCGGAUUAGCUAGUUGGCGGGGUAAAGGCCCACCACGGCGACGAUCCGUAGCUGGUCUGAGAGGAUGAUCAGCCGCACUGGAACUGAGACACGGUCCAGACUCCUACGGGAGGCAGCAGUGGGGAAUAUUGGACAGUGGGCGCAAGCCUGAUCCAGCCAUACCGCGUGUGUGAAGAAGGCCUUCGGGUUGUAAAGCCCUUUUGUUGGGAAAGAAAAGCAGCAGGUUAAUACCCCGCUGUUCUGACGGUACCCAAAGAAUAAGCACCGGCUAACUUCGUG